GCUGUGAGUGAACCGUAUGAACC
This 23-nucleotide non-coding RNA is filed under the name Arabidopsis thaliana (thale cress). The record is from RNAcentral. Lineage: Eukaryota; Viridiplantae; Streptophyta; Magnoliopsida; Brassicales; Brassicaceae.